This is a long non-coding RNA of Bos taurus (domestic cattle), 1419 nucleotides long. The record is from Ensembl. NCBI's taxonomy places the organism in Eukaryota, Metazoa, Chordata, Mammalia, Artiodactyla, Bovidae.
AUAUGGUCCUUCACAGUGAAAGAGAAGAGAAGCAGGAGAGGCAGUGUCGGAGGCAGAGUGAGGUUUAAAGAUGCUACACUGCUGGCUUUGAAGAUGGAGGAAGGGACCAUGAGGCAAGAGAUGUGCAUGGCUUCUGGAAACUGGGAAUGCUAAGGAAACAGAGUCCUCUCCUCUGGAGCCUCCAGAAAGAAACCUGACUAGCCAACACCUUGACUUCAGCCCACUGAGACCUGUUUCAGACUUCUGACCUCCAGAACUGUAAGAAGCUCUAUGCAGUCAGCAAAAACAAGACCAGGAGCUGACUGUGACUCUGAUCAUGAACUCCUUAUUGCCAAAUUCAGACUUAAAUUGAAGAAAGCAGGAAAACCACUAGACCAUCCAGGUACAACCUAAAUCAAAUCCCCUAUACAGUAGAAGUGACAAAUAGAGUCAAAGGAUUAGAUCUGACAGAGUGCCUGAAGAACUAUGGAUGGAGGUUCUUGACAUAGUACAGGAGGCAGUGAUCAAGACCAUUCCCAAGAAAAAGCAAUGCAAAAAGGCAAAAUGGUUGACUGAGGAGGCCUUACAAAUAGCUGAGAAAAGAAGAGAAGUGAAAGGCAAGGAGAAAAGGAAAGAUACCCAUUUGAAUGCAGAGUUCCAAAGAAUAGCACGGAGAGAUAAGAAAGGCUUCCUCAGUGGUCAAUGCAAAAAAAUAGAGGAAAACAAUAGAAUGGGAAAGACUAGAGAUCUCUUCAAGAAAACUAGAGAUACCAAGUUAACGUUUCAGGCAAAAAUGGGCAGAAUAAAGGAUGGACCUAACCAAAGCUUAAGAUAUUAAGAAGAAGUGGCAAGAAUACAAAGAACUAAACAAAAAAGGUCUUCAUGACCCAGAUAACCAUGAUGUUGUGAUCAUUCACCUAGAACCAGACAUUCUGGAAUGGGAAGUCAAGUGGGCCUUAGGAAGCGUCACUAUGAACAAAGCUAGUGGAGGUGAUGGAAUUCCAGUUGAGCUAUUUCAAAUCCUAAAAGAUGAUGCUGAGAAAGUGCUGCACUCAAUAUGCCAGCAAAUUUGGAAAACUCAGCAGUGGCCACAGGACUGGAAAAAGUCAGUUUUCAUCCCAAUCCCAAAGAAAGGCAAUGCCAAAGAAUGCUCAAACUACCGUACAAUUGCACUCAUCUCACACACUAGCAAAGUAAUGCUCAAAAUUCUUCAAGCCAGGUUUCAACAGUACAUGAACCAUGAACUUCCAGAUGUUCAAGCUGGAUUUAGAAAAGGCAGAGGAACCAGAGAUCAAAUUGCCAACAUCUGUUGGAUCAUUGAAGAAGCAAGAGAGUUCCAGAAUAACAUCUACUUCUGCUUUAUUCACUAUACCAAAGCCUUUGACUGUGUGGAUCAUAGCAAAUACCAGACCACAUUACCCGCCUCCUGAGAAAUCUGUA